Molecule: ribosomal RNA, 375 nt
Filed under: uncultured bacterium
Lineage: Bacteria
Description: bacterial SSU rRNA
Rfam family: Bacterial small subunit ribosomal RNA
Source: RNAcentral
UACGAAGGGGGCUAGCGUUGUUCGGAAUUACUGGGCGUAAAGGGCGCGUAGGCGGCCCUGUCAGUCAAGCGUGAAAGCCCCGGGCUCAACCUGGGAAUUGCGCCUGAUACUGCAGGGCUUGAGGGUCGGAGAGGAUGGUGGAAUUCCCAGUGUAGAGGUGAAAUUCGUAGAUAUUGGGAAGAACACCGGUGGCGAAGGCGGCCAUCUGGACGACAUCUGACGCUGAGGCGCGAAAGCGUGGGGAGCAAACAGGAUUAGAUACCCUGGUAGUCCACGCUGUAAACGAUGAAUGCUAGACGUUGGGGUUCUUGGAACUUCAGUGUCGCCGCUAACGCAUUAAGCAUUCCGCCUGGGGAGUACGGUCGCAAGAUUAAA